Molecule: long non-coding RNA, 1030 nt
Organism: Felis catus (domestic cat)
Lineage: Eukaryota; Metazoa; Chordata; Mammalia; Carnivora; Felidae
Exons: 4
Source: RefSeq, a predicted model, not a curated record
AGUCGGACGUUUAACCGACUAAGCCACCAGGCGCCCCUGAAAUUUCUAGUGGAUAUGGAGAAAUACUUGGAAACAACAAUGCAUCUGGAAAAUCAGAACUGGGGUACUGUCAGAUACCAAGGGGUAGGACAGAAGACAUAGCUACCCUCAUAACCCAAUAUAAGCUUGGUCAGAAUAACUGGACAGUACAGGAGGAUCUGGCAAGUGGAGUCUCCCGGACUCCACUGAACUGCUUCUAAACUCUGCUCAAAUCUUCAUGCUAACACCAGGACUCUUAGUAUAAGCAGCAAUGACUUGAGCAUACGGUUAUGCAUAAUUAAGUAUAACUUCAGCUGCAUGGGGGUAAAUAGAGGCUUUCUGUUUUUGAAUUCAGAACAUUGCCUUCUAUGAACAUUCAAGUGAUGCAGAGGAUUCCUCCCAAAUUGGAAGAAUGUUCAAAUGUUGAUGGUUAAAAACCAGACAUAUAUACAUUACGGUAGCUUUCUAUAUUUUUGUCACUAUUUUAGAUUUUAGCCUAGGGAAAUGGAAACACAUUUGUACUAUUUUUAUCUGCUAUCAUCCUGGUUCCUAGGAAAAUGUAUGCAUAGAUUUGGAGGCCUAGUUAAUAAACAUUAUCAGGCUGAGAUCAAAACACCUUUGGAAGACCUACAUGAGCUAUACAGGAUCAGAUGAAGGGCUCUAUGUCAUUGCUAAAGCUUAAUGGACAAAAUAGGAUGUUGACAAGGCUCUUGAGACCCAACCUGGGCCGCCCCAUCACUGAGGAAAAAUAAUCUGCAUCUGAGGAACACGAAACUGCUGGAAACCCCUUGGCAUGUAGAAGGUGUCUGGUCUGGAAGCUCGGGCUUAAGCGUGGUGUCAGGCAAUUCACAAACAGGUUGGGGAAAGCUUUGUCAGUAUGCUCUUUUCUCUCCACAACAUAGUCCCGGGCAAGUUAUAAUCUUUCAGUGAAUAACAUGAGACUAGAUACAUACUUACGUGCUUAUAAAUACAUAAAAAAUAAAAUAAAAUAAAAAUUAAAACUGACAAUCCA